AGCUGGCAUCAUGAUGAACUGACUUUUUCUUCUUCACAAAGAUCCUUUCGCCGAGGAUGACAAUAUUAAACUGAAGCUGAUUCUAGCUUUGCUGAACGACUGAUAUACAUCGGCUCGUCUGGCAUUUCUUCUAUUGUUCGGAGUUGAUCAUCAUUAGGACAGCUAACAUCACGGGUCGCAUAACUUGCUUCAGCUGGAUACCCGUAACGGUUGACCGGGACGUGAGGCUCCUACAAUAUCGUCGCCCACUGUGCCUCUUCCACUUUUAACAUGCCGAAACUGGAUUUGAGAAAAAUGAAAGACUAAGGAAGACGCAAACCUUGACGACGUCAUAUAGCUGUGCACAUUGAAAUAAUAUCACAACAGAAAUGAAAUAGGAAAUUAUUCUUCAAGUUCCAUAACCUGUUUUAACAUCAAAGAUAAAAACACUUAAGGAAGUACCUAUAUUCCGCAUUUGCCGCUGCGUCGAGCUUUGUUUCAUGAAGAUGUGGAGCUCAAGGUAUAAAUGUCUGGCUAACCUUUAUCUUGGAACAGUUGUACACACUGAAAUUGUAGUGUUUCUGUUUGCAUUCUGCUCUCCACAUAUCUGUAGUCUAAUUAUUUUUUUCUUACUCCCUAUCAGUACGGAUAGAUCCUGAUUUAAUCGGGUAGGUUUUCGGUCGUUUAAUUGUGCCAUUUUGGUUUUCGAGUUUUUGGCGCGGUUCGUUUGUUUUUCUAAGUUUACCUAAUGAAAAAUCGAUUAUGCAAUGUGAGCAAUCGAUUGCCAUAAAUCAGCGAAGACGAGGCAUCAGGAGGUGUUAAAUGGCGGAAUAAAGCUCGCUGGUGUCGUCAUAAAUUUUUUGUUUCACUUUCU
RNAcentral lists this long non-coding RNA (853 nucleotides) under Daphnia magna. RNAcentral's name for it is "uncharacterized LOC123471547, transcript variant X2". Lineage: Eukaryota; Metazoa; Arthropoda; Branchiopoda; Diplostraca; Daphniidae. The record is from RNAcentral.